RNAcentral lists this long non-coding RNA (736 nucleotides) under Felis catus (domestic cat). Its description in RNAcentral is "lncRNA (ENSFCAG00000048050.1)". Lineage: Eukaryota; Metazoa; Chordata; Mammalia; Carnivora; Felidae. The record is from RNAcentral.
GUGUAGAACGGUAAUGAAGCUAACUGUCGUUUCCAACGGUAAAUCGUGACUUCAGCCCUGUGUAUCCUGUAUUCACCGCAGAGCCAGCAGACAUCAUGAGGGGAGCUCACAGAGGUCAGGAGGACCUAAAUUAGGCAGCAGGGAGUGUUUUCAAGUGACCGGAAACCCAGGUCAAAGUAGCUUAAGCGAAGAGGAGAAUCCGUUGGCUCGCCCGACAUCCGUUGGCUUCAGGAAUGGCCUGGAGUGGAAUCAGCUAAGAAACACAGGAAUUGUGGCAGAGACCUCAGGAGGCACCAGUCUCUAGUUAAGGCUCCACGCUAACCUUAGGUCGGUCUUUCUUAAAAUUUGGCCAAAGCUUCAUUCCAGCAGGAUCCAGGGACCCAUGGAGGCGGUGGGUCACCAUAAGGAUGUCCCCAGAAAGGCAGAGGUGGCACACGCCGUCCCAUUCCCCAGCCGAUCCGCAGGGCUCAGGAGAGGAAAUCAAAAGGAAGAGUAAGGAUAACAAGAGGCCAGUUGCUGAGAGACCUGUAAACGGGUCUGAUCUGCAGAAGAGGACCAGGAGCCGCCCAUUACACCACAUAUCCCCAGCCCCAGUCUGUGGUCCGGACACCGCAGAUCAGAACCACGCCCACACCUAGCAGUGGCCGGGGCAGCCGGGGCCGCCCUCAUGACCACAGCAAAUAGCGACAAUUGUCGGCAAAGAAGGGAAUAAACUCCGAGGUGUUCUGUGGUUCCA